RNAcentral lists this transfer RNA (78 nucleotides) under Desulfobacteraceae bacterium IS3. Its description in RNAcentral is "tRNA-Glu". It matches the Rfam family "tRNA". From Rfam's summary of the family: Transfer RNA (tRNA) molecules are approximately 80 nucleotides in length. Their secondary structure includes four short double-helical elements and three loops (D, anti-codon, and T loops). Further hydrogen bonds mediate the characteristic L-shaped molecular structure. tRNAs have two regions of fundamental functional importance: the anti-codon, which is responsible for specific mRNA codon recognition, and the 3' end, to which the tRNAs corresponding amino acid is attached (by aminoacyl-tRNA synthetases). tRNAs cope with the degeneracy of the genetic code in two manners: having more than one tRNA (with a specific anti-codon) for a particular amino acid; and 'wobble' base-pairing, i.e. permitting non-standard base-pairing at the 3rd anti-codon position. The record is from RNAcentral. Lineage: Bacteria; Pseudomonadati; Thermodesulfobacteriota; Desulfobacteria; Desulfobacterales; Desulfobacteraceae. RNAcentral also lists the same sequence under 5 other names.
GUCCCUAUCGUCUAGCCCGGCCCAGGACACCGGCCUUUCACGCCGGCGACAGGGGUUCGAAUCCCCUUGGGGACGCCA